This 1408-nucleotide ribosomal RNA is filed under the name wastewater metagenome. RNAcentral's name for it is "bacterial LSU rRNA". It matches the Rfam family "Bacterial large subunit ribosomal RNA", at positions 1100 to 2488 of the family's 2925-position model. The record is from RNAcentral.
GUUGGCUUAGAAGCAGCCAUACAUUUAAAGAGUGCGUAAUAGCUCACUGGUCGAGUGGGUCUGCGCCGAAAAUGUCCGGGGCUCAAGCUGUCAACCGAAGCCGCGGAACUCAAGUAUUGGGUUGGUAGGGGAGCGUUGCCUGCUGGUUGAAGCACGACCGUAAGGACGUGUGGACGGCAGGGAAGUGAGAAUGCCGGUAUGAGUAGCGAAAAGGCAGGUGAGAAUCCUGCCCGCCGGAAGCCUAAGGUUUCCUGAGGAAGGUUCGUCCUCUCAGGGUGAGCCGGGGCCUAAGCCGAGGCCGAAGGGCGUAGGCGAUGGAUAACGGGUUGAAAUUCCCGUGCCGCCUCGGUCGCGCUUGAGCGAAGCGGGGACGCAGAAGGGUAGGCACAGCAGGCUGAUGGAAUAGCCUGUCCAAGCGAGUAGGGCGCCGCGUAGGCAAAUCCGCGCGGCAGAGGGCCCAAGACGCGAGUGGGUGCGGAUACGUCCGCUGAACUGGCCGAUCCCAAGCUGCCAAGAAAAGCCGCUAGCGAGCGACCAGGCACCCGUACCGCAAACCGACACAGGUAGGCGAGGAGAGGAUCCUAAGGCGCGCGAGAGAACCCUCGUUAAGGAACUCGGCAAAAUGGCCCCGUAACUUAGGGAUAAGGGGCGCCCCGGUAGGGUGAAGGGCAACACGCCCGUAGCCUGAGGGGGCCGCAGUGAAACGGCCCGAGCGACUGUUUACCACAAACACAGGUCUCUGCUAAGUCGCAAGACGAAGUAUAGGGGCUGACGCCUGCCCAGUGCCGGAAGGUUAAGGGGAGGGCUUAGCGGCAACGCGAAGGUCUGAACCGAAGCCCCGGUGAACGGCGGCCGUAACUAUAACGGUCCUAAGGUAGCGAAAUUCCUUGUCGGGUAAGUUCCGACCUGCACGAAUGGCGUAACGACUUGGGCGCUGUCUCAACGAGGGGCUCGGCGAAACUGUAAGUGCACGUGAAGAUACGUGCUACCCACGACUAGACGGAAAGACCCCAUGGAGCUUUACUGCAUCCUGAGAUUGGAUUUUGGCAGGGCAUGUACAGGAUAGGUGGGAGGCUUAGAAGCAACGACGCUAGUUGUUGUGGAGCCGCCCUUGGGAUACCACCCUUGUUUUGCUGGAGUUCUAACCCGCGACCGUGAUCCGGUUGGGGGACAUUCUCAGGUGGGCAGUUUGACUGGGGCGGUCGCCUCCUAAAAGGUAACGGAGGCGCCCAAAGGUUCCCUCAGCGCGGUUAGAAAUCGCGCGCAGAGUGCAAAGGCAGAAGGGAGCUUGACUGCGAGACGUACAUGUCGAGCAGGGACGAAAGUCGGGCUUAGCGAUCAGGUGGUUCCGAGUGGAAGGGCCAUCGCUCAACGGAUAAAAGCUACCCUGGGGAUAACAGGCUUAUCU